UACUAUAUGAUGCCAUGUGGAGGAAAAAGCCCGUUAUCUCAGGAAAGACUUCAUCAGAGGUUGUAGGGAACAAGGAGGUCUAGAGGUUCUGGACUUUAACUCCCUAAACAACACAUUUAAAAUGAAACGGAUUCUGGAAUUUCUGAAGAUCCCGACAGCAUCUGGAACGCUUUUCCAGCUUCUCUGUUUAAUCAUCCUGGUGGCUUUAAUUUUCUGUUGAAAGCUCAUUUUUCUGUUGGUAAAAUUCCUUUAAAUCCGGCUGACUUCCACAAACAAGCUCUUUUAUCUGGUUAUUGGUUUAUAAACAUAACUUCAGCCCCGUAGAUGUUAUAUCUGGAACAACAAGGACUUCUUUAUCAGAAUAAAUCUGUUUUAUCCGACAUGGUGUGGAAAAGGAAUUCUGUUUGUAGCUCAGUUGUUGGAUAAAAACGGGACUUCUGACAUUCAGAAUUCCUUAAAAAAGUCAUUUACCUGGAACAGCUGAAGAGUUGGCUGUUGUCUUAAAUGCAGCUCCUGCAGGCUCGUCACAUGUUGAAGAACACGUCAUUCCCAGAGAUUAACACGGAAUUUAACAACGUUUUCAUGGCUGAUGUUGAUCUCACAGACAAACGUUGGAGCAACAAAUAAAUCAGGAAUGAAGCGUCCGGUUCACUUCCAGCUGCUGCAGAGUUCUUCUGGGACUCUACCAUGGCUGCUUUACAGGGAAAAAGCUGCUAAACUUCUUCAUAAUUACUGGAUUAACAACAAGCUGGAAGAAGUUUCUUUUAAGGUUUAACUUCAGAUUUUUCCUGUUCAGGAAACACUUCAAAGAUUCCAGAUAAAUAUUGAUGAUGCCUGUGUGUUCUGCAAAGCUAACAAAGAGACAAUUUUCCAGAUAUUUUCCAACGUGUUCCCACCAAACAGUUCUGGUCCGACAUGGAAAGCUUCGUCUGGGCUCAGUUAAACAUCAACAUCCACAUUAAUGUUUUCAUCUUAUAUUUUAUAUUGAAAGGAUUGUCAGUGAUGUAAACUCUGUUAUUCAGCUAUUAAUCAUUCUUGGCAGGUUUCAUGUCCACAAGUGUAAAUGUUCUGGAUCUAAACCUUUUUAAUCUUUUUAUUGUGGAUCUGAAAUCUUAAACCAGCUCAGCUGAAAAUGUGAAGAACCAGAAAGCAACAAGAACUCUUGAUAUUUUGAAGAAACUGCACAUUAUUUCAUUUUUCUAUGUAAAAUAAAAUAAAUAAAAACUCCACGUUUGUAUCUGUUGUCUUCGGCCUUGUUCAGUUGAAGCUGUUUAAGUUGCAUCUUAUAUGUAAAAUGUUUUCUGUUAUAAAAUCUAAAACGUGUUCAGAGCCUGAAUUGGGACGCAGGUCUAUACUGUUCCUUGUGGUUCCAGGUGAGAUCCGUACUCGGACGUCUACAUAUGUUUAUGUUCCAGUUAAUCUGUAGCUGGUUUAGAGAGGAUAGCUGCGCUGCUUUCCACCAGUAGGUGGCAGUAGCGCUCUACUAAUGGGGGCGACCGGUCCGGAGCUGGAAUUUCUUAGAGGAAGUAGCCGGUCAGGCAGAACAGCUGACAGCAUCCACCGCUGAUCUAUACUGUUCCUCGUCCUUCCAGGGAUCAGCAUGAAUAAAGCCUUUCAUGAAGCGGAGCAUGGCUGAAUUUCUCCCGUGUGUAACACAUGGAGUUCGAAGCUUCACACACCUGGAAACAGCAGCAGGGUUAUGUCACUGCUGCAGGUUUGUGAUGAAGUGGAGCGAAAACAUCCAGCUUUGGGAAAGAAGUGACAAAGAUUUGACUGCGUCUGCAAAAAGUGCUUCACCUGCCUCCAGAGAAAUCUCUGCCAUACCAGCUGUACCUGGAGGCCAGAGAGGAGGCUCUCGUUGAAGAGUUACCAGGAGUUAACAGGUAUUGACUCUUUAUAUUUCUCCCAUACGUCUAUAAGGAGAACAUGAACCUUUUUAUCCCUCUUGGAGACUCUGAUGCAGACAUGUGGUGUUUAACUGAACCAAACACACACAACAAACGUGACCUUCCAUCUCCACACACAACUAUUCUCCUGACUGGUCAAGACUGGAAAAUGUCCUUCUUCACCAAACGAGCUCCAAACGUUGUGAAAGCAGACGAUGUUGAGGAAGGGGUCAUCUCUGCCUUCUGCACUGACUUUGUCUUCAAGCUGGCAAACCCGAGACACCUGAAGACACACUGACGUUCCUCCAGAGGUGCAUGGUGGUGACCAA
Long non-coding RNA from Melanotaenia boesemani (Boeseman's rainbowfish), 2215 nucleotides. RefSeq lists it as uncharacterized. NCBI's taxonomy places the organism in Eukaryota, Metazoa, Chordata, Actinopteri, Atheriniformes, Melanotaeniidae. The transcript has 4 exons. The record is from RefSeq and is a predicted model, not a curated record.